GACGAACGCUGGCGGCGUGCUUAACACAUGCAAGUCGAACGGAAAGGCCCUGCGUUUGUUGGGUUCUCGAGUGGCGAACGGGUGAGUAACACGUGUGUAACCUGCCCUUGACUUUGGGAUAACCUCACGAAACUGGGGCUAAUACCGGAUAGGAUCUCCUGCUGCAUGUUGGUCGUUGGAAAGUUUCGGCGGUUGGGGAUGGACUCGCGGCUUAUCAGCUUGUUGGUGGGGUAGUUGCUUACCAAGGCUUUGACGGGUAGCCGGCCUGAGAGGGUGACCGGCCACAUUGGGCCUGAGAUACGGCCCAGACUCCUACGGGAGGCAGCAGUGGGGAAUAUUGCACAAUGGGCGGAAGCCUGAUGCAGCAACGCCGCGUGCGGGAUGCCGGCCUUCGGGUUGUAAACCGCUUUCGCCUGUGACGAAGCGUGCGUGACGGUAAUGGGUCAAGAAGCACCGGCUAACUACGUG
RNAcentral lists this ribosomal RNA (468 nucleotides) under uncultured bacterium. RNAcentral describes it as "partial 16S ribosomal RNA". It matches the Rfam family "Bacterial small subunit ribosomal RNA", at positions 28 to 507 of the family's 1533-position model. The record is from RNAcentral.